AAAUUGACGCUUAUAUAUCACUAAAGAUUUUUAUUUUUAAUGCAUAUGAAUUAAUAGCGUGUAAUUUAAAUAAAUUUAAUUUCUCGACAGCAAGUUAGCUGUCAUCAAUCGUCUGUUUUCAUCAAUGUUCGUUUUCGUCAAUCUUCAAUCAAUUCUUUCAUCAAUUCUGAAGAUCAACACUAAUGAAAAUGUAUUUUCUAGAAGGCCAAGAUGAUCAUCGAUUGUCAAGAAAAUUGAAUCAUUUUUUUGUUCGUCUUCAACCCGACAGUCGCCCAUUAAUUGGACUUCACUAGGACUGGUUAGACUCGACGGAUACUAUAUAUCGUCAUUGGGAUUCAUCCAUCCUACCGGCUUUCUCUUCCCAGACGAGGACGCUACACGGUUGGCAGGGAAACGUAGUGAAUCCGCAUGAUACCGACCACCGACAUGGUGUUUCCUUUCAUCGUCUUCUCUACGAAAUACGGGACGCAUUCCAACGUAAGGAAACACGAGUGAGAACGAACGGACGAACGGACGAACGAACGGACGAACGGACGAACGGUCGAACGAACGAACGAACGAACGAACGAACGAACGAACGAACGAACGAACGAACGGACGGACGGACGAACGGACGGAUGACGACAGUGAAAUUGAAUGGAAAAAUAAGCACAAAUAAAUAAAUAAAU
Long non-coding RNA from Vespa mandarinia (Asian giant hornet), 668 nucleotides. RefSeq lists it as uncharacterized. The record is from RefSeq and is a predicted model, not a curated record. Lineage: Eukaryota; Metazoa; Arthropoda; Insecta; Hymenoptera; Vespidae.